AGACCAUGAUGAGGACAACACUGAAGUAAAUCUUUGUAUAUUUCCCAAGCCUCGUACAAUGAUUUAGAAUUUAGUUGCAUGAAUGAUGUGAUAUCAUUCCUCAUUUU
Molecule: small nucleolar RNA, 107 nt
Filed under: Theobroma cacao (cacao)
Lineage: Eukaryota; Viridiplantae; Streptophyta; Magnoliopsida; Malvales; Malvaceae
Description: Plant small nucleolar RNA R71
Rfam family: Plant small nucleolar RNA R71
About the family: R71 is a member of the C/D box family of snoRNAs containing the C (UGAUGA) and D (CUGA) box motifs. Multiple nearly identical copies of this snoRNA have been identified in Arabidopsis, and it is thought to function as a 2'-O-ribose methylation guide for 18S ribosomal RNA.
Source: Rfam by way of RNAcentral